This 885-nucleotide ribosomal RNA is filed under the name uncultured eukaryote. RNAcentral describes it as "SSU rRNA". It matches the Rfam family "Eukaryotic small subunit ribosomal RNA", at positions 564 to 1472 of the family's 1831-position model. The record is from RNAcentral.
GUGCCAGCAGCCGCGGUAAUUCCAGCUCCAAUAGCGUAUAUUAAAGUUGUUGUGGUUAAAAAGCUCGUAGUUGGAUCUCGGCGGACUGAGGGCGGUUUGCUUGCUAGUAUUACUGCCCUAUAGUCCGUAGUUUUGCCAGAGGUUUCGGGGUGCUCUUAAUCGAGUGUCCCGGGAUGCUGGCAGGUUUACUUUGAAAAAAUUAGAGUGCUCAAAGCAGGCUAUUACGCCUGAAUAUUCGUGCAUGGAAUAAUAGAAUAGGAAGUCGUUUCUAUUUUGUUGGUUUUCGGAAAUCGACUUAAUGAUUAAUAGGGACAGUCGGGGGCAUUUGUAUUCAAACGACAGAGGUGAAAUUCUUGGACCGUUUGAAGACAAACUACUGCGAAAGCAUUUGCCAAGAAUGUUUUCAUUAAUCAAGAACGAAAGUUAAAGGUUCGAAGGCGAUUAGAUACCGCCCUAGUUUUAACCAUAAACGAUGCCAGCUAGCGAUCUGCGGACGUUUUUUUUGUAGACUCCGCAGGAAGCUUCCGGGAAACCAAAGCAUUUGGGUUCCAGGGGAAGUAUGGUUGCAAAGCUGAAACUUAAAGGAAUUGACGGAAGGGCACCACCAGGAGUGGAGCCUGUGGCUUAAUUUGACUCAACACGGGAAAUCUCACCAGGCCCGGACACUGGAAGGAUUGACAGAUUGAUAGCUCUUUCUUGAUUCGGUGGGUGGUGGUGCAUGGCCGUUCUUAGUUGGUGGAGUGAUUUGUCUGGUUAAUUCCGAUAACGAACGAGACUCUGUCCUGCUAAAUAGUGUCUGCUUCUCUUUUGAGCAGACAAUUCUUCUUAGAGGGACUGGCGACUCUUAGUCGCACGAGAUUGAGCAAUAACAGGUCUGUGAUGCCC